RNAcentral lists this transfer RNA (74 nucleotides) under Candidatus Micrarchaeota archaeon RBG_16_49_10. RNAcentral describes it as "tRNA-Arg". It matches the Rfam family "tRNA". Rfam says of the family: Transfer RNA (tRNA) molecules are approximately 80 nucleotides in length. Their secondary structure includes four short double-helical elements and three loops (D, anti-codon, and T loops). Further hydrogen bonds mediate the characteristic L-shaped molecular structure. tRNAs have two regions of fundamental functional importance: the anti-codon, which is responsible for specific mRNA codon recognition, and the 3' end, to which the tRNAs corresponding amino acid is attached (by aminoacyl-tRNA synthetases). tRNAs cope with the degeneracy of the genetic code in two manners: having more than one tRNA (with a specific anti-codon) for a particular amino acid; and 'wobble' base-pairing, i.e. permitting non-standard base-pairing at the 3rd anti-codon position. The record is from RNAcentral. Lineage: Archaea; Nanobdellati; Microcaldota.
ACCCCCGUAGUAUAACCUGGAUAGUAUGUCUCCCUGCGGAGGAGGCGACUCGGGUUCAAAUCCCGACGGGGGUG